This is a long non-coding RNA of Peromyscus leucopus (white-footed mouse), 380 nucleotides long. RefSeq lists it as uncharacterized. The transcript has 3 exons. Lineage: Eukaryota; Metazoa; Chordata; Mammalia; Rodentia; Cricetidae. The record is from RefSeq and is a predicted model, not a curated record.
AUGAGUCUUCACAUGUGUGUCCCUUUCAGAUUAGGAAAAAAUCUUUUCAGGACUUAUUUGUGUUAUUUUUUAUUUUAUUUUAUUUUAUUUUCUCUGUGAAUACAUAGAAAAAUUCCAUAAAUCUAAAAAUCUGAAAAAAUAUUUAUAGUAAACAUUGCUAUUAUCAGAUUUGGCAAAAAUCAAGAGCAUGAAAGAAGGUGGUAAUCUUUUUGUUGUUGAUAUUGCUGAUGACACUUCCCUGUGUUGCCUAGGCUUCCAGCUCGUUGAUUCAAGGGGUUCUCCCACUUUAGCCUUCUGAGUCCUGGGAGUUUAGGCAGGCAACACCAUGACAGGCUCCCCUUAACUCUGUUAUUUUUAGCUUUUAGUACUUUUUCAUGUCC